UCUAAUGGCUUUGAGCUGAAUUAGAGCGAGGGUGGUUAUUUGAAGCAAGAUUAAAAUCCCAACACUUUUCUCUCCCCUAGGGGCUAAGUGUCAGACAGUAGCAUUCAUACCAGCAAAAACACUACAGAAAGGAGUGCUGUCCCUCUCCUCACAUGUGAUGCAGCGGUACAUCAACAACACUCUCCUCUUGAUGAUAUUGAUUUGUCCUCUGACAUUUUCAUUAGUGUGCUUGAAGCACUCCAACUGAAGUAAUGCAGAAGAAAGAAACUGUGAAGCUAUAGGGUUUACGCACCCUGCGUGUUACAAAACUGCACUCCCUUCUAUUUACUGGAGAGGCACUCAGACUUCCCAGAGACGGAGGGGUACUUCUGCAGCUUUCUCUCCGCGAACCUUGGAUUUGUUCUCUCCGUCUCUUGCUGUUAAAAUCCUGGGUGUACGUGCCUGACAAGAUGGAUGGGCAGUAUAUUUUCUCUUAAGUGCAUACACAAAUUAGAGGAAAAUUAAUAGAAGAUUGCAAUAUCAAUAAUUUGAAUUAAAAAAAUUAGCAUGUCAUCUUUAAAAUUCCUACUCACUUGUGCUUAAUUCCAGCUUCCUAAUGAGCUGUUUCUGAAAAUUUAUGUUCUUUUUACCUCUGGCUUCAAGGUGUUUUUUUGUUUGUUUGUUUAAAAAAAUCUUUUCCAUUACACUAUCAUACAACUUGGUGUUUUAGUGCCAUGUAAUGGGAAGCCCUAAGCAGAGGAGAGAAACUGCUCUGGGGCUGCAGCUCGCUAAGCAGAAGAGAUGCCCUGGCCCGGCUGGCCAGCAGGUCCGCUGGUUUCACUGCUGGUUUCACCUCUGCAGCCCCUCAGCCUCCAGCAGCUUUCACGUGGGAGGCCAGGAAGGAGCCAUUGCUGACCCCCUGCUCCAGCUAUGUGCAAGCAGCUGCCCUUCCUGCAGCUACGGAGAAGCUUCCUACCGGUGCCUGCAAUCACGCUGAACCCCAAGACAGCAUAUUCUGUAUUUGCAAGAAUCCGCUCUCUCGAGAAAAGCAUGGCCACCGAAAACGAACAGAUGACUGUGUGCAUUACUUACACUAUUGCUUUCUGUAUGGCUCGUGUCAGCAGUCUGCUCCAGGCUCUGAUGUCAAGCAACACUGAUAGACUGAGGCCAUGCAUGAAGGCAGCAUGAUGCAGAAAAAUUGAUACUCAGACAAGUUCUCACAGCAUCUGUAGAUUUGAGCUGCCUUUCUCAAGGUGAAACUCAUUCCACUUCAACUCUCUGACUGUGUAGAGGCAGCCACUAUGGCAGCAAAGCAGCGUGAAAAACUGGUCUCUUAGUCACGGGGAGUUAAUAGAGCCUUGUGAUAACUUUUGGUUUCAGGUGAUUUUUUGCAUGUGAUGCCAUGCAGGUAGAAAUCACUGCCCUACACAACCCGAAAAUAGGAGUCUAUAUCCAAUCAAGGUUAUCUUGUUUUCCUAAAAUACUAUUAUUUCUGACAAGUUUGGUGCAUAGAAAAAGAAGUCACAAAGCCCCCUGAAGCCUUUUUGAGCCUUCCCAGAUUGUUGCCUGCAAGGCUAAAAAGGCAAAGCUAAAUGUUUUCUCUUAGCAACCUGCUGCCAUAUGCCUGAGUAGGGGCUUCUCAACAAAAUCUUUGCUUCUGACAUCUCUUAAAGCACAUUGGGCUAGCCUGACCACUUCAUCUUUUGUCCUGAGAGUACAAAGAAGCUAAAGAGGUAAUGAAAUAUUGUCCUACACACAAGCUGUCCACGUAAUAAUACUUCUUAUGCUUCAAUACCAGGUUUGAAUUUUGUUUGUAUUGUUGAAAAGAAAGAUGUAAAUGAUUUAGAUAUAAAGAUUUGCAACAGAGAUUAAUUGAGCAUUGACUGAAUAAUGUUGAAAAGACUGUAGAUCAUGCGACAGAAAGAUGAUAAAUACGGGUUGCCAGAGAGAUUUCUCCUAAAAGCAUUUCCUCUGACUGAAAUAAGAGAGCACUGCAAUGCUCUCAGGCAGUGGCCUGGAAAUGUGUGGCUAGGCAUCAUUUCUUCAAGAUGCAAACAGUGAGUUUUCAGCCAGUAAUGAGACAAAAGGAUGAUCACAAAACUGACCCUCAGCCCAAGGAGGUACCAUGCCUCUGGGCUACGUGGAUGCCUCCGGGCUGCUUCCGUGACUGGGAGCUCUGUGAGAGCUGUGUCCUGCCAUGAGGAAUUGUUCGCACGCAUCUCCCGCUGCACGGGAAGGUACGUGGACAUAUGGAAGAUGUCAGCAGUGCUUCUUCAUAUCUGUCUUUCAUAACCAGCAUUGGGGAAAGAAAAUCAGUGGUUUUGUAAAUAAAGGGAUGCCAUCAGGAAUCUCUCAUCCAAAGCAAUUCAUGGAUGAAUUAGCUUGUGCUGGCUAUUUCUUUUCCCUCUUUCACAGUCUCUCUCUGCUGUGAAAUUUGACAGCUACAUAGGUGACCCUGAUAGGGCACAAAUGAGCCUUGGCUUGAACUUUGAAUUAUCAUUAAAACCUCUGCUGGCAUUAUGCAUAGGAUUUGACCAAACGUGUUGGCAAGCUGUUCCUGAAAAUAGUGGUCUCUGGUGGGUGUUUGACUAAUAAAGCUGCAAUACAGUGUGCUACGAUUGCUGGUUUCUGGUCAGAAGAGGCCUUCUCAAGAUCAGAAACACCACAGCUGCACAGUGACAGGUCAGGGACUGCCACGCAUUGCUAGAACUUAAAAUGGGAAUUAAUGUUUGAUGCUAAUACAGCCGCUUGUCUCCCUGUGUUCAUGACCUCCAAAGUCACCCACAGUUAUUAAAAUACAAUGCAAUUUUUUCUUAAGUGUGUAUUUUAAAUUCAAGUGGGUGUUAAGGGCUUCCUGUGAAACUGAUGGAUUCCACAUUCAUGCUUGUCUAUGGAAACAUCUGAAGUGUAAAAGGGUCUGUUAAAUAAACCUCAUUAUAUA
Long non-coding RNA from Cygnus olor (mute swan), 2920 nucleotides. RefSeq lists it as uncharacterized. NCBI's taxonomy places the organism in Eukaryota, Metazoa, Chordata, Aves, Anseriformes, Anatidae. The transcript is spliced from 2 exons. The record is from RefSeq and is a predicted model, not a curated record.